GUUAGGACGUCAGUUCUCAUUUAUUUCUGACGGUCUCUCGGUUUGACGAACUUGUCAACACCAAAAGUAGGCCAUGUUUAUCAGUAAGAGUGUGCUCAUUCAAGAGUGAGUCCAGUGACUGUAAAAGAAUAAUUCUGCUCUAGAUGCUAUCCAGGCCCACUGUGUUUUAUUUGUUUGGUUUGUUUGGUUGUUGUAACAGCUCUGUUAAAUUCUAGAUUCUGAUCAGGAGGUGUUGAUUAAGUAAGGAAUAACGCACAAGAGGCUGUGCUAUUACACGAAAUUACAGCAUUAUAAUUAUUAUUAUUGUGGUCUGUGUGGUCUAAUGCCCCAGUAUAGUGAAGUGGACACUAUGCUGUAAAAACAGCACCGUCUUUCGGAUGAGACGUUAAACUGAGGUCCUGACUCUCUGUGGUCGUUAAAAAUCCAGGACACUUCUCGUAAACGGCUGGUGUGUGGUGUAUGUUCUGGCGCACUAUGGCUGCCGUCGCAUGAUCCACAUGGAUGCUACACUCUGGCAGCGGUUGAGGAGGACCCCCCGCCCCCCAUAAUCAAGGUUGGAGAAGAUGUGCAGUACGCUGCGGUGAAUUUCUCAAGAGAAAAAACAAAAAGAAAGACCACCGAGACCGAGAAUAAAGAAAUUCUUUACUCCAGUGUGGCAAACUUCGGCUUGGAGUGAUGCUCUCUUCUCUCUAUCCUCUUUAAACGUACAGUGAAUAUCACAUUUUAUUUACAACAAGAAAUAUUUAACAGUUAUCUUAACUGAUUUUGCCGUAUUUAUUAUAGAACCGUAAACACAUAGGGGAAGUGUAGCGGUUAAGGCUCUGGGUUAUUGAUCAGAAGGUCAGGGGUUCAAGCCCCAGAACUGCCAAGCUGCCACUGUUGGGCCCUUGAGCAAGGCCCUUAACCCUCUCUGCUCCAGGGGCACUGUAUCAUGGCUGAUUCUGCACUCUGACCCCAGCUUCCUGACAGGCUGGGGUAAGCAAAGAAAACAAUUUCACUGUGCUCUACUGUAUAUGUGUCCAUUAAAGACUCAUUAUGUAACAUAAUGUGUAAGGUUUAUUUAAAAGUUUCAGUUUUGAGAUUUUUUUUUGGAAAUCGUAGUUAAAUGUAUAAUAUUUAUGUGAUAUAUGUAUAAGCUGUAGAUCUGCCUUUAUAUUAUAAAACCUUGUUGUGAAUGAUGCAGUUGCAGUGACGACACAUUUGUCAUUUUAUUCAACACCCAAUUUAUUUACUUAAAACUUACUAAAAUCUUAUGAACUUAAACCAGAUGCCAAAUGUAUUUUAGAUAUUUUGUUCAGUAGUUUUGCAUUUUGGGGAAAGAAACAUUAUGAGAAAUACUUCACUGCGAUCUAUGUGCAAAUAUUGUUCAUUGCUGUGCAUAAACAAUGUAGUAUAUAUGUGUCUAAUUUUAUUAUCAAAUUCUG
Molecule: long non-coding RNA, 1424 nt
Organism: Ictalurus punctatus (channel catfish)
Lineage: Eukaryota; Metazoa; Chordata; Actinopteri; Siluriformes; Ictaluridae
Source: Ensembl